AGGUAACAGGUCAACUAAACGAGUUAAAAAUAUGAUAAUGCUUUGUUGCAGUAGUUGUAAGUGUGUGUCUUUUAAUGUUUAAGUAUCUCUAAAGUGCAAUUUUCAAACGACUUAUUAAAAAAAAAUAAAUGUAAAUGCCUGGGUGAAGAUGUUCGUCCCACAGAGUCAACAUAACGCACAUUUCGCUUUUCUCGCGUGCGUGUUUUGUAAAUGUAACCUUUUUAUGACCAAGUUGAGCACAAGCUUAAGCUUCUCUACGUCGUAAGGCUACGGUGGAUGUUCCAGUCUUCCAUGUACAUCCCAAAACCGAUGGGCUGGCAAUGCUAAGAUGGCCGGUGUAACUGUGUGCCAUGCGGGUGGCCGGACGGUGGUUCUCGUCUUGCACCCAGUGCAGCCUUUGAGAUGUGUAUUUACAUGUACUUGUUCAACAAUGAAACGAUGGAGCUUAAUUGGGACCCCUAAUCCCGGAGGAUUCAAAGCCCCCUCCUCUUAACGUGAAAGCUAUAAGGCAUAGAGAUAGAUAGAUAGAUACUUUAUUAAUCCCAAUGGGAAAUUCACAUUGCUUUUAAAAUAAAGUUUCUGUUACACUUCGACUGUGGCAGCACUGUAACAUAAACAACAGUAAUGUCACCAAGGAAUUAUUAAUAAGGAGACCAUCCGUCCCCUUUUUCGGACAACUGUCCCCACUCAGAAACAUGUCCCCGGUUUCAGCUGGUUCACUUUUUUGAAUGUACCUCAUCACCGCGAUAAUGUGAACUCGGCGCGCGUGCGCGGUGUUUUGACGGAGGUUAUGCUUUACCGCGUCCUGUAACGUUGGCGAGAAAUCACGUGAUAAGCUUUCGCUUUGUACUCUGUAGAGUUUAGAGUCCCUACUCGUGAUCUGUAGAUUCUAGCCCAUCAUGUCCCCGGAUUGGCUCAAAAAAAAUUCUGGUCACCUUAUUAUUAAGCAGGGAUAGCGGUUUAAUAAAACCAAAAUAAGACCCAACAAGGCGUGAAGGUGCGAAACAACGCGUGGCUUCAGCAGGAACUUGCGCGAGUCCAGGCCUUGGCAUUUCACAUUAAUCCACUCCAUUAUUUUCCACGUUCUAUUUCCUCAGUCAAAAUGAAACUCAAGACAGACAUGGUAAGAAAACUAGUUUGUUUCCACCGUCCUUUUAAUCCACGCAUAAACUUACAAUAACUUGCUAUAACUCCCACUACCCAGCACCCCUUCUUAAAGUUGCAAUACUCCAUUAUAAUUGACUAAUUAUCAAGCCCUAUUCUUUAUAUAUAAAGUAAUUUUGAGCUACAAAAAUAAAUUUAACAUAAUUUCAAAAUUAACUGAACAUCCAUCCAUCCAUUUUCCAACCUGCUGAAUCCGAACACAGGGUCACGGGGGUCUGCUGGAGCCAAUCCCAGCCAACACAGGGCACAAGGCAGGAACCAAUCCCGGGCAGGGCGCCAACCCACCGCAGGACACACACACCAAGCACACACUAGGGCCAGUUUAGAAUCGCCAAUGCGCCUAACCUGCAUGUCUGGACCGUGGGAGGAAACCCACGGGGAGAACCCGGGAAGCGAACCUCGACGGGUCUCCUUACUGCGAGGCAGCAGCGCUACCCACUGCACCACCGUGCCACCCUUAACUGAACAUAGAAACGUUAAUAACAGAACUUGGCUCAUACAACACCAUUAAGCAAUAGAGAUGAAAGUUGGGCGUACCAGAACCAUCCAUCCAUCCAUUUUCCAACCCGCUGAAUCCGAACACAGGGUCACGGGGGUCUGCUGGAGCCAAUCCCAGCCAACACAGGGCACAAGGCAGGGAACCAAUCCCGGGCAGGGUGCCAACCCACCGCAGGACACACACACACACACACACCAAGCACACACAAGGGCCAAUUUAGAAUCGCCAAUUCACCUAACCUGCAUGUCUUUGGACUGUGGGAGGAAACCGGAGCACCCAGAGGAAACCCACGCAGACACGGGGAGAACAUGCAAACUCCACGCAGGGAGGACCCGGGAAGCGAACCCAGGUCUCCUAACUGCGAGACAGCAGCGCUACCCACUGCGCCACCGUGCCACCCUUAACUGAACAUAGAAACGUUAAUAACAGAACUUGGCUCAUACAACACCAUUAAGCAAUAGAGAUGAAUGUUGGGCGUACCAGAACCAGUUAACAUAAAACACACAGGGACGGUUAACAAUUAAUUAUACAAUCAUUUAAUAUGUACUAGUCGAUGCCACAAGGGGCUGGCACACCGUCACAAAAGAAGUCCUGGGUGUAGUGAAGUUUCAUUCACAUCUUUAACUUUGACAUGAGAGAUAAUCCAAUACAGAAGCUUUAAACAAAAUCUGCGAUGUAGAAGUUAAUUUUUUUUUAAUUUAUGGUCAUCUGUUGAGGAACAACCCCAAUGUAACCGUUGUAAGAUAAUAAUAAAAGUUAGGGAGCAGUCCCCGUAUAAUGUCCAGCGAUCUUCAAUGAAAAAGUUGCAAAAAAAAAAAACGAUCAAAAGCAUAACAUUUAGUAGUAAAUGACAGUGGAAGGUGGAAUUUGUACAAAAUGGCAACCGGACGGAAGUGUUGGUGGAAAUGACGUCAUAACUGUGAGACCGGAAGUGAUGUCAUCAGGGUGCGACCGGAUGUGCCGUAUGUGGAAAUGACGUCGUCUUUGGGACUCGGAGGCGGACAUGAUGAAUCGGAAGAGGAGCCAAUGUGGGAAUCCGGAAGACUCGGGCAAUCCAGGCCAUGUUUACCAGAUGGAGUCACUCUUCUAAUGAGAAACCUCUCCGGUGAAAUCCCCUCAAGAAUAAUGGCUGUAAGUCUCAAAGAACCGGCGAAGAGCAUCUGUGUACCUCUGAAGACCUUUGCCACUGCAGCUAAUUUAAUCCCAGCUCUUCAUGGCAGGUGAAGUGAUUUGCUCACAGCCGCCAAGUGUCAGCAGCAGGAUUUAAACCCCUGAUCGCUGGUUUUGAAGUCCAAAGCCUUACCCUCUUUGCCACUCUCAUCAGUCAUUGCUAAAUGUCAGUCAACAACAGGACAUCGUAAGCAAGGAAUUGGAUUUGUUCAGAGUCCUGGAGACGUCGGCCAUCAAGCUGCCUCCCCCUAUUGGCCAUUCCACAGCUGAAACAGCCAAUCCGAUGAAAGGACCCCUCUACCGGACGAUUCCUGCGAUCCUCCAUCAGGGAUGACUUUACCUUAGGCAGGCAGAACAACCUGGCAGGUGGGCCGUGGCACCAAGUGGCACAUUUGAGUACCGAGAAGAGAAACCGAAUAGGGGAGGGUGAGUAACAAGUUAUAACUCUCAUGUUACUUCUGUUUUAGUGCUGAUGACUGACAACAGAGAUGCAGUCUGCACAGUGAAUCAGCAGCUCUAGUCAGGGUGUGCUAAACUGAAGUGGUGAGUCUUUGAAAGCUGAGACCGAAGGAGCAUCUCUUAUAGUGGCAGGCAGAUCAGUCCACAGUUUAGGGGUCCGGUACCUAAAAGCUCGACCUCCCAUUGUUAUUUUAUUAAUCUUUUUAGAGUUAUAAGCAGACCGGCAUCUUGAUCUUAACGUACGUUCAGGUUUGAAAGUCAUGGUAAGUUCAGGCAAGUAAGCCGGACAAAAAAUCAAUAUGUAAAUCUGAAAUACACAAAUUGGGUAACAUAGAAAGUGGUGGUGUCAUUUGAAAGGUGAAACAGCCCCCUCAAUUACCAGAUAAUAGUCUGUCAGUCAUAUUUCAUGAAACUGAAUCAGGAAGUUCAAGAAAGCAAUUAUUACAGGAAGAAACAAGAACACUGCACCGUGCUGUUGGGGUAUGCAAGGAAAUGAAUGAUUUUUAUCUUGUUAUUGUUAAAAAUUGCAUUAUUGUUUGGAACAAAACAAUGGGGCCUGUGUUUAAAGAUUUUAAAAUGUGUUUUCCCCACAGCAGUCGCCAUGAUGCGGGUUUAUAUCCGGCAGUGGCAGAGUACGUCAUUUCAUUUUUCCUUUUGUGCUUUCCUUCAUUUGAGUGGGGCCUGCUGUGAGUGGAUUCAUGAGUUAAUUCUGCGCCCACCUCAUCACAUUCUGAAUGUAAUUUAUUAGAUUAUUACGUCAUUAUUGUUAAUCAUUUCAUUAUUAUUUAAAGUGCUUGCAUAUCUUAGUUGGAGGGUGAAAACGGAUUGUGACCGGCCCUGCAUCAAUGGAGUCCGUUUCCUGUGCACGUAUUUUUAUGUUUUGAAUGCGGAGGCUUGUGAUUUAAAUCACAUAUUCAUAUUAGGCUUACACUGUUGGUUUGUUUAUUAAAUGGUGUGGUUUUACUCCCUUAUCUUCACCCCAUCAGUCAGAGUUUACUUGAAGUGGUUGAGUUGGCAGCAGAUAAGACAUUGAAGUGCGGCCUUCUCUCUUAUUCGGGACUUGGGCCUUGUCGGCCGCUGAAGCGGGUUGUGUUCUGCCAGUAGCUUGCGGGCGCAAUCCGCUUUGAAAGUCGGGGGCCGAGUUCUGGCAGACGGUGUGUUCUUACUAGUCCUGAAGUCCUCGUUGUCACCUUUAAUGUCACCUGUAGCCACCCUUCCUCACGCCGUCAACAAUUCUAGCCUGACGAUAUGUCAGAGCCGUCCUAACUGUUUGAUGACUGCAGUUCUAACUGAAAACGCACUGUACAAGAGUGACUGGAGUUGAAAAUGUGCUCCUUAUUGCCGAUUUGUGUAAUAAAAUACUUCCAAGUGUUACUUUUUAUUACUUAUGUUGAGAAAUACUCAGUUCAAGUGCCCUCAUCUUGUUAAAUAUAGUUGUCCGUAUUUUAUUUUGACUUCUUAGAGGCCAGAUCGCCUGCAGCUGUCAACGAAGCUUCCAGGUGGCCACCUGCCAUUUGCAUCCUUUAACACAGAUAUUCAUGUUGUGCUUAGUGUUUGGGAUGAAGGACCCUGGCUGGCAGAGAAGACAACGUGAAUGUGUCCGCAGGUAAGGAGAACUGCUUUGUCUGAGGUCUCGACGUGCUUUUAAGGUUGUGUUCCUCUCCAUAUUCUGCAGCCUCAGCAAAUACAAAAAGGGUUUGAGUCCUCAUUAAUGUGCCAGAAAGGCUUCACUGACGAGGCCAGGCCAGGCCAAUGCCAGCCUGGAAUAAACCUCACCCUGUUGGGCCAAUUCCCUACUCAAAAUGGGCUUAGGCUGUGAGAGCCUAAAAGAGACAUCCUUUAAUGUCUUGAAUAUCCCACCAAGGGAGGGGUCACCUUAAACCUCGGGUUUGUGUGGACAGGGAGCAGUAAAAUUAUCAUUAUGAGGAAAAAAAAAAAAAGAUUGAUUUUCAAAACACCCAAAAUGUUCCACAGAGCAAAGAGGAAGGCAUUAAAAGGAGUUUCUGUAAAGGGAAUCCACAGUGAGCACAAUGUAGUAAAUCUAAACCCUAUUAUUAUUGCAAGAGCAAUCUUCUUCUUUUGGCUGCUCCCAUUAGGGGUUGCCACAGCGGAUCAUCUUCUUCCAUACCUUUCUGUCCUCGUCAUUCAACGCGUCUUUCUUUGAGGAAUUCUCUGACUUGAUGUCAAUCUUAAUUACGAACUAUGACGCACUCUUAAUAGUCGGCGACUUUAAUUUUCAUGUAGAUAAUCAAUGUGACCAAAAAGUAAAAGAAUUUAUGAACCUCCUGGACUCUUUUGAUUUGAGACAGCUCGUUAAUCAGCCUACACAUAAAGCAGGUCAUACGUUAGACUUAGUAAUUACUAAAGGACUAAAAGUUGAUAUAAAGCAGGUCAUUGAUACGGGUCUUUCAGACCAUUUUCUUCUACUUUUUAAUAUAGAAAUAAUGAUAGAAAACACUCAUGAGAAGCAUAUUGUUAAAAAACGCUUCUUUGACUCAUCAGCAACUUUAAAACUUACAAACAUUCUAACCAAUCAGUCCGUUUAUAGUGCCAACUAUAAUAGCGAGGAGAAUGUAAAUAGUAAGGUGGAAAGAUUUAAUACUAAAGUGAGGGCUGCUGUUGACAUAGUUGCACCUGAAAAGACAGUUAAAAAAUCUUCUAGCAUUGUUAUACCUUGGAAGACCCAAAGAGUGUCUGAUUUAAAGAGAACAUGCCGUAGA
Molecule: long non-coding RNA, 6012 nt
Organism: Erpetoichthys calabaricus (reedfish)
Lineage: Eukaryota; Metazoa; Chordata; Cladistia; Polypteriformes; Polypteridae
Exons: 4
Source: RefSeq, a predicted model, not a curated record